GACGAACGCUGGCGGCGUGCCUAAUACAUGCAAGUAGAACGCUGAAGGAGGAGCUUGCUCUUCUGGAUGAGUUGCGAACGGGUGAGUAACGCGUAGGUAACCUGCCUGGUAGCGGGGGAUAACUCUUGGAAACGCUAGCUAAUACCGCAUAACAGUAGAUGUUGCAUGACAUUUGCUUAAAAGGUGCAAUUGCACCACUACCAGAUGGACCUGCGUUGUAUUAGCUAGUUGGUGGGGUAACGGCUCACCAAGGCGACGAUACAUAGCCGACCUGGGAGGGGGAUCGGCCACACUGGGACUGGGACCCGGCCCAGGCUCCUACGGGAGGCAGCAGUAGGGAAUCUUCGGCAAUGGACGGAAGUCUGACCGAGCAACGCCGCGGGAGGGAAGAAGGUUUUCGGAUCGUAAAGCUCUGUUGUAAGGGAAGAACGAGUGUGAGAGUGGAAAGUUCACACUGUGACGGUAUCUUACCAGAAAGGGACGGCUAACUACGUG
Molecule: ribosomal RNA, 495 nt
Filed under: uncultured bacterium
Lineage: Bacteria
Description: partial 16S ribosomal RNA
Rfam family: Bacterial small subunit ribosomal RNA
Source: RNAcentral